UUAAAAGAUAGAACAGUCCAGUCAAGUGCCAUGUCGCUUAUUCUUGAUCAGCUAUAGCUCUGGAGUUUUUGCAGAUUUUCAAAUAAAACUCAGAGAUUCCUUGUAUGACUCUCUAAAUCUCUCUUUUGUGGUAUUUCUGGAUCCUUACCAAGGCAGUGAUGGUAUAUGCCUUCUCUCAAGAUAUGUAGUAUUUGUGGUAUAAGGCAUAGUGACAUUGCCUUCUCUCUCACCCUACUCUAAUAAGGCUUUAAUAUCUAGAGCUUAUAGGUGGGAGAUAAAGUAUACAUACUUACAAGACAUUUAUUGUGUAGUCAAACCAUGGAUCCAAAGAAACAAAUCAAUAAGCCAAAUCAAGAUGUGCAUGUGUGGCGAAUGAAUGGUGUAUGGUGAUGAUGGUGAUAACAAUGGUGAAAGUCUAAUUCUACCUUUGCUCUUUUGAGGGGAUACAUACCUUCCUUGCUUUUUGAAACUUUAUGAGGAGAAUGAGAUGCUCUUCUUUUUCUUUCCUCUCAGGUGGGUAUCUUGUACCCCUAAUUCUACUGUCGGACACUUGUCCAUUUUUACCUCUCGUCUCACUUUUUCUUUCUUUCGAGGUUCCGGGCACUUGCCCCUUUUUAUUUCCUCAUUUAUUUUUUUUCUUUUCUCUCUUUUUUUUCUUCUUUUUUUUAGAGCACUCAUCUCUUAAGAUAAUAUAGCAAGUGGUAGUAGCAAGAUAACUUGAGCAAGAUAACUUGAGCAUUUAUUUCACAAGGGAAAAACACAGAUGUUUUUGGCUAUUCUCUCCCGAAUUAGGAGUAGAAUAUUUUUAGGUGAUUCUGGAGAUGGAAAUGGAUGGAUAUAUGUGGAUGGUACUUCCGGAGUAGAAGUAGCAUAUAUAUGAGUGAACGUGCAAGUGAAUCUUGAUUUAACCACAUGACAAGCUCCUAAGGGUCUACACAGCUUGACCACACUCAAUGCUCAUAAGCAGUAAAUAAUAAAUGUGUGGCUCAAAGUCUAGCAAGCAUGUAUAUAUGGCUGUGGUAGGAAUUUAAACUUUCAUCAUACAGGAACUCAUCAUGCAACAUUUUAAAGAUUUUUCAAAGAUAAAAUUCUCUAGAAUUCUAGCAUCUCUAGGAAUAGAUAAACAGCAGCUCAACCUUCCCAUAUCAUAUCCGUUAACAACUUAGAUUUCAAAUCAAGUUUUCAUCCCACAAGUUUAGAUCUAGAGCAAGCUUUAAAUUAUAACAGUUAUGUCUAAACUUGAGAGAGAACUUCAAAUUUGCAAAUUAGGCAGAGCAACUAUUCAUCAUAUCCAUGCUAGAGUUUUAUUAUUAAGAUUCAGAUUAGCAUAGCCACUUUAUUUAUUUAUUAAACACACUAAGCAAAAGAGAUAUAUAUAAGCACAAAAUCUUUAUUUGGUUUUUCAUAGUUUAUGUAUUUUAAUAUUCUAAUAUAAUAUAAGUAUAAAGAUAGGUAGAAAUACUUAGCGAGAUAAAUGGGGGUGCUCUCCCCCAAGCUGAAUUUUGACGUAAUUUCUCUUGAUGUAGCUAGCAGAUGGCAGAGGUGUAUUUGAAAGUCAGCAGCAUUCUGACAGCGAUUAGAAUGUCCUCCGUCUGCUAGUCUUCUUGAUUCUUAAAUUCUGUGGAGCUCAAAUAGACAACAAAGCUUGUGGAACUAAUUAAGUGUUAGCAUAAAUAUCUAGCCUUCAUCACGUUGAGCUUCCUCAAUAAAUAUUACUCCUUAUUUUUUAUAUUUUUAUUUUAUAAAGUAGAAAAGAAAUAUUUAUUUUAUUUUUAUGCCACCACAGUGAAGGUACUUAUGGGUUUUAUGCCACUCGUAUACUCACAUGGGGCUUAGUAUUUUUUAACAUUUUUAUUUUCUUUUCAAGAUAGCAUGAUUAACUAAUAAUUUAUUUAAGGAAAGUAAAUAAUUAAAUGGAAAAGGGAAUGCAGAAAGGAUAAAUAUGGAUAACUACCAAUCUUACCUUUCGGCGAGGGUUUAAUGUUUUAAGUCUUCUUGUCAAGACUUCUCAUCGUGUUCAUUCUCCAGGCGCGUCAUUUGAUUCAGGUGCGGACCUUGACGUCUGCACCUUUUAAUACGGUGUCACCCAUGUUCUUCGUUUGCCCAGCAGUUCGAAGUGCGGUGUUAGCAGUAUCUUGCUCAGUGUGUUUGUGCUCGUAGUGUACCUGCUCAUAGAGACAAGGCAGAGAUCAAGUGCAUGGGCCCUGUUGGUGGAAAACACCAACAGAACCAAAAGUGUAUUUGUUCUUCUCUAACCUUAAGCAUAGUGAGCAAGACAAGUUGAUGGAUGAUAAGUUCAUGAGUGUAGUACUUAUAACAUUUGUCAGAUCAGAUCGCUCAACCUUAUGGAAAGAUAAUCUAUCUAUGUAUAUGUCUUUUUCUUUAUAUCUCUCAAUGAUUGAAUGUGUAACAUUUUAGCUCAUAUGAUUAGGAGUGUGGGAUCAUGGAGGUAGUACUAAGAACAAGGAUUAAAGGACUAAACAUGUUGAAUCAGUUGGGUUGGUUAAUCUAGAGUUGUAAAUCAUACACGUUUGUCUCUUUUAUUUAUAUGGACGCCAGAACCAAGGAGAAGCUUAUAAAAGUGAUAGUCAAGUACCUUAAGAUGUUACCUUGCUCGAAGAGUGAUGGUACAGUAUCAUCUUGUGGAAGCUUUCCUUUCUUAGCGGUUGUGCGUCGUGUUUGUGGCACCCUCCAUGGAUCAUCUCUCUAUGAUGAAUGAGCUAUGUCCUUCUUGUGCAAAUUGUUAAACUUCAUGUGUCACUCUCUUCGUCUCUGAUGUGAGUUUAUCUCAGGACUUCCCAAAUCGAUAUUGAAAGUUUUUUCUGCAGGGGUUAGUCCGACAAAAUAUACCAAUAUCUACUCAAGCAGUUUUUUUAGUUCAAUAACCAAACUAGACUCCAUGUCUAAUUAGAUUAAGGAAGGCUAUUUAACCUAAGCACCAUGCUUAAUUUAAAUGCCAAUGGAAGUAUGGCGAGUACUUCCAAACCAACACUUGCUAGUAAAUAGACAAAGGUAGCAUUCCAGCGUUUAUAGAGAUCUACUCAAGUGGAGAUGAAGUAGUGUGAUUAGUAUUUAACAAAUUGAGCAUGUCUCAAAGGUAGGGACAACCAGCAUAGCAACAUGGCAAAGGAUGUUUUUAUGUAAAGUACUCCCCCAAGCUUGAAUUUUGCAAAAUUCAAGUUUGGAUGAAUUUAAUUCAAUGUUGUAUGAUGAUUGGUUGGACAUACCUUGUGCUUGUCAUUCAUCCGAUCUUCUUGCUCCAAUCUUAGAAAGGUUAGUGACAAGAAUACCCGAAGGAAUAUAUUUUUUUUACAAUUAUCCUUAUAUGCUCAAUACACAAGGUAAUGUUGCAAAUAAUUAAAGGCUCAUGUUACGAUCUGAUCAAUGCUUAUUUUAAGACACUAAGCUUGUCCUUGGGAAAGCAUCAGUUUAUGUUGGCGAAGUGGUUUCCCCUCCGACGCCAACCUAUAUCUAGAUCAACUCAACGAGAUCUGCAAUAUUUAUUAUAGACAUAUGCAUCGACAACCGCCCUUUUAAAGGUUUUAUAAAUAGAAAGGAAGAGGGGGUUGGAGAUCUCAAGUGUGGUGAUGUCGGAGAGACCAAUAGAUUGGGAAGAUGUUGCAUAUGAGCAUGGAGUAAACGAAGUGGCUAUGAAAUAAAUUCCAUGCUCAUUAAUGUUAUCUUCGUCUCUAAUCUGAAUGUUCGGAGUUUCUCCUGGAUUGGUCUCACCUAUGUCCUCUUCUGUAGUUGGAUGAAUCUCAUCUUCAAAGGGAGUCAAGAACUCACCAUUUGAAAUUGAGCCAAAGUUAGAACCUAUUAAGGCUUCUUCCUUAUCCAUCCAUUCUACACAUUCUAGCGAUUUAGAACUUGUGAUCAAAAUAGGGGAGGUGUUAGAAUUUUCUAUAUGGCUUAGCUCUCCUUCUAUGGCAUUACUUGACAUGCCAUCCUUAUGGUCUUCAUGACUCCUAUGGUUUGGUCGUCUUGGUGAAUUGCUAGGAUCAUCAUGAGACUGAAAAGAAGAGGGAUAAGAGGGAUCUCUAAGGUCAAGGAUGGAUUUAGAACUUGUGAACAUGGAAGGGGAGUAGAUAGAAUUGUCUAUAUGGCUUAGCUCUCCUUCACUUGAUAUGUCAUCCUCGACUUCUUCAUGAUAGGAACCAGGACAUUCUCUAAGAGAAAUAUUAUUGCAAUGAUUUGAAUUAUCCCUGCUUGAAGGUCUCUUAUAGAACCAGAAGUCUAAACCAUCAGCAUCUAAAAGAUUUAAGGUCGGAAUUCCUUCCUCCCUUGGAGAAUUUUGGGGUAUUGAUGGUUUAGGAUCGAUAGCUAAAGUUUGGGAUUGAAGUGGUUGUGAUCUGGCUAUCGAAACUUCUUCUUCUUGUCUAGGAACUGGUUCUUUCUCUUUCUCAGGGAUAUAAAAGCUAGGAGACUUUCCGCUCAUUAAAUCAAUCAAAUUCCAAGCUUCACUAGCGGAUAGGUGGUGGAAAGAUCCUCCAGAGGCCGCAUGAAGGGUUUGCUUAUUUUUCCUACUAAGGCCCUCAAAAAAGUGAAUAAGAAGAACUUCUUCUGGAAUAGAAAGUUUUGGGCCAGUGAGAGUAAGGAUAAUAAAGCGGUCCCAUGAUUUGCCAAGAGAUUCUUCUUCCAGUUGUCUAAAAGAAAGAAUCUCACACCGAAGUUCCACCACUUUGGAGAUUGGAAAAUAUUUAGAAAGAAAACUACUAUAUAACUCCUUCCAAUCUCCAUGAACACUCCCUACUUUGAGUUUAUACCAAUGUCUAGCUUUUCCCGUUAAAGAGAACGGAAAGAGCUUCCAUUUAAGGGUCUCAUCGGACAUGCCUUCUAUGCGAAGGAUGUCACAGACUCGAUAAAACUCUCUUAGGUGUGUGUAUGGGUUUUCCUCACCUUUUCCUGAGAAAGGUUGUUUUUGAAUAAAUUCUAUGUAUUCGGGGUCUAUCUCAAAACUAGAUGCUAUGAUAGGCUUUGAAGAUUUUGGUGGUUCGAGAUGUGUGCCCAUAGGUCUAUGAAAUUCAUAGAUAGACAUGUUUGAAUUCAUAAUAGACCAGAGAUCAAGGAUUAGAUAAGAAGAAAGAAUAGCAGAGAUGAGGCAAAGGAUAAAAGGAAAAUAUUUUAUUUAUUUAUUUAUUUAUUUAUAAAAUGAUUAAACUAGUUCGUAGUCAACUCAGCAACCGUUUCCCCGGCAACGGCGCCAAAAAUGCUUGUUGACACUUGCUAACACCACUUGAAUGCUAGGUUGUCAUCCCCAGCAUGGCACUAGAGUGUACUAUGGUAUUUAUACGCACACAGAUAAUCCGGAAGCGCACGGAUACCGUUGAAGCUUUUACCCGGUUAAAGGUUUUAUCGUAUCCACAGGGAAAUGGGAGAACUGAUCUACGCUCUAACUUAACCAAGAUAAGUAAAUAGGUGUGAAUAGGAAAGAUGGUAGAAUCAAAUAAGAACAAUAUUAAAGGUAAGAUAACAGUGAGUGAUAAUAUGGGAAUAGAGAGUAGAGCAAUUCUAGUAUAUGGGCGAUGGUAGCAGAAUAGAGAGAAUAACUAUGGUUUCUCUACUUCAAAGGGGUAUGUCUAUGUCUGGGACGAACCACGUGAUAAGAGUACACCACAAAGGAUGCUUAUCCAUAGGCCGAUAAACCCUACCCGUCCUGCUAACGAGAGGUGGACUACACGGGACCAACGUAACUGUCACCUACGCGGCCUACCACACGAUCCAGCUAGACAGGGGAUAUCCACAAGUAAUCUAGGUCUAAGCACCACGCUUACACCUAUACUACAACUCUGACCUAUAGGGUCCUAUAGAUUAGAAGUACUCAAAAGAGUUGUGAACCAGAACAUACAUGAUUAGUAAUUGCAUAAUGAAUUAGAAGUAGAUUACCAGAGUCAUCCCAUGAGCAAGCUUGAUUAGAGCUUGAUCAUGGCGAAGUACAACCGGAGGAAGAACCGACAGGCCGGCCUCUCCUCUAAUCCUCCUUCGCUCUCCAUCUCGCUACUAUCUAGAUCUACUCUAGUUUAGAGAAGAGAGGAGAGCUCUCAUCUCUAAACCCUAGCUUUUGCUCUGUCUAUGAAUAAUGAAUAAUGAUCAAGGGGUGCCUCCUCCAGGGGCCAGGGGGUCUAGUUUUAUAGUCCCCUCAAGUGAACCUGGGCCGUCGGAUCAAACUGACAUUGAUUGAAUGGUUAUUCUUGAUCCUUUAGGUCGGUGGAGCAUAAUCCGCGAGAUUGAGCGUGAUUGGCCGAAAAAGGUGGGCGGGCGCCCUAAGGACUUGGGCGGGCGCCCUGUCCCUGACUCCGUUCGGUCUCCGCUUCCUUCCCGUGGCUUCUGGAGUCUUCUGGAUGUAAGAUAAUUGUGCGGCACGUUGAUAUCUCUAUGUAAUCCCGACGUGUGGGCCUUUCUUCCUUAUUUCCUGAUAACCCCCUGCAGAAAUAGACAAACACCAAAACUCGUGGAAUUCUGUCAGAUAAAACCCUAAGUCUAGAUGUUGAUUUCAUUUGGAUCCUUUUCUUUGUUUAUUUGAUAAUUAAAUUUGAUACUUAAGGACCGUCAACAAACUCCCCCAAGCUUACCUCUUGCUCGUCCCUGAGCAAGGAUAGACUCCGCAAUGGAUCAGAAGUUGUUGCAAUAUCUUUAAAAAUUGACGGUACACAUGCUUUUAAAUGAGGUCCCAUCUCUGAGUUAGAGUAAACUGUCAAGACUUAAAACUUACUUACUUUACCUUUCACCAUGGGACUUGUAACCGUCACUUCUGUCUUGAGUGGUUAAAAGAUAGAACAGUCCAGUCAAGUGCCACGUCGCUUAUUCUUGAUCAGCUAUAGCUCUGGAGUUUUUGUAGAUUUUCAAAUAAAACUCAGAGAUUCCUUGUAUGACUCUCUAAAUCUCUCUUUUGUGGUAUUUCUGGAUCCUUACCAAGGCAGUGAUGGUAUAUGCCUUCUCUCAAGAUAUGUAGUAUUUGUGGUAUAAGGCAUAGUGACAUUGCCUUCUCUCUCACCCUACUCUAAUAAGGCUUUAAUAUCUGGAGCUUAUAGGUGGGAGAUAAAGUAUACAUACUUACAAGACAUUUAUUGUGUAGUCAAACUAUGGAUCCAAAGAAACAAAUCAAUAAGCCAAAUCAAGAUGUGCAUGUGUGGCGAAUGAAUGGUGUAUGGUGAUGAUGGUGAUAACAAUGGUGAAAGUCUAAUUCUACCUUUGCUCUUUUGAGGGGAUACAUACCUUCCUUGCUUUUUGAAACUUUAUGAGGAGAAUGAGAUGCUCUUCUUUUUCUUUCCUCUCAGGUGGGUAUCUUGUACCCCUAAUUCUACUGUCGGACACUUGUCCAUUUUUACCUCUCGUCUCACUUUUUCUUUCUUUCGAGGUUCCGGGCACUUGCCCCUUUUUAUUUCCUCAUUUAUUUUUUUUCUUUUCUCUCUUUUUUUUUCUACUUUUUUUUAGAGCACUCAUCUCUUAAGAUAAUAUAGCAAGUGGUAGUAGCAAGAUAACUUGAGCAUUUAUUUCACAAGGGAAAAACACAGAUGUUUUUGGCUAUUCUCUCCCGAAUCAGGAGUAGAAUAUUUUUAGGUGAUUCUGGAGAUGGAAAUGGAUGGAUAUAUGUGGAUGGUACUUCCGGAGUAGAAGUAGCAUAUAUAUGAGUGAACGUGCAAGUGAAUCUUGAUUUAACCACAUGACAAGCUCCUAAGGGUCUACACAGCUUGACCACACUCAAUGCUCAUAAGCAGUAAAUAAUAAAUGUGUGGCUCAAAGUCUAGCAAGCAUGUAUAUAUGGCUAUGGUAGGAAUUUAAACUUUCAUCAUACAGGAACUCAUCAUGCAACAUUUUAAAGAUUUUUCAAAGAUAAAAUUCUCCAGAAUUCUAGCAUCUCUAGGAAUAGAUAAACAGCAGCUCAACCUUCCCAUAUCAUAUCCGUUAACAACUUAGAUUUCAGAUCAAGUUUUCAUUCCACAAGUUUAGAUCUAGAGGAAGCUUUAAAUUAUAACAGUUAUGUCUAAACUUGAGAGAGAACUUCAAAUUUGCAAAUUAGGCAGAGCAACUAUUAAUCAUAUCCAUGCUAGAGUUUUAUUAUUAAGAUUCAGAUUAGCAUAGCCACUUUAUUUAUUUAUUAAACACACUAAGCAAAAGAUAUAUAUAUAUAAGCACAAAAUCUUUAUUUGGUUUUUCAUAGUUUAUGUAUUUUAAUAUUCUAAUAUAAUAUAAGUAUAAAGAUAG
This 8202-nucleotide long non-coding RNA is filed under the name Sorghum bicolor (sorghum). Its description in RNAcentral is "long non-coding RNA (SBIC_LNC016024)". The record is from RNAcentral. Lineage: Eukaryota; Viridiplantae; Streptophyta; Magnoliopsida; Poales; Poaceae.